GCCCAGAUAGCUCAGUCGGUAGAGCAGGGGACUGGAAAAUCCCCGUGUCGGUGGUUCGAUUCCGCCUCUGGGCACCA
This 77-nucleotide transfer RNA is filed under the name Clostridioides difficile. RNAcentral's name for it is "tRNA-Ser". It matches the Rfam family "tRNA". Rfam says of the family: Transfer RNA (tRNA) molecules are approximately 80 nucleotides in length. Their secondary structure includes four short double-helical elements and three loops (D, anti-codon, and T loops). The record is from RNAcentral. Lineage: Bacteria; Bacillati; Bacillota; Clostridia; Peptostreptococcales; Peptostreptococcaceae.